UGUUAGAAACUAGACACAAUACCAAACCUUUGAAAACCUAAUAGGAACCGACCAACACACUGGUUUUACAAUGAUUAAUUAAUUGGAAUGAUGCUCAUAGUUGUAGACAAUUAGCUUUGUUUCGAGACAUUUAUAGUGUGAAGAUAUGAAUAUUCCAUAAUUGAACAAGUUGUCAAGAAGGCAUAAUAGCCCUUGAAAAAAGCAUUGACUUUAAAGAUCAAAAACAGACAAAGUAAAAUAGUGUAAAGGAAGAGUCAAGCCCUGAUACUGAAAUUGUGGUGCUAUGAUAAACCAGGUUAGGCUGAGUUUGAAAUUGCAGUGCUAUAAUAAACUAAGGUUAGGCUGAUUUUGAAACUACUGUAUAUAUUAAGAGUUCGUUAAUUGACAUGAUUACACUAUAUAGGAAAAGUUUGGUAUAUAUACACUUCACCAUCAAUGCACAAACUCAAAAGCACUGAUCUUAGACACAUUCUUAUAAGUGAUAUCAUGUGUUGUCUGGUUUGAUUAUUUCUGGUAUGAGCCACUCCCACACCUGUUCUUGAUCUUUCCUUUCUUCAUUUCUUAGUUCAGAGAAGCCAGAAGACAUUUCUAAAUGAUAUUUGACAAUUGUGGUGAAGUGAUGACAGUUUCAAGUUCUCAAAUGGGGUGUGUCUUCCUGAUAUUAUUAAGCAUUUUGGUUUUGUACCAUGAAGUAUUGGGUGCUAGGUUAGGAAAAGUGGAACAUGUACACAAACUCAAGCCUCCAGUAUGGAGGAAAAGCUUUACCAGUGAAACUGAUAGAAGCUAUUACACAACAAGUAAAAGAGCAGUACCCUCCUCUCCUGACCGCUUGCACAACAGAUAGAAUCCAGCAGUUUGAAGUUUCAUUAGAUGUUUGGUCAGCAGCUUUUUCAAGAAUCAAUUCUGAGCCGCAAAAGCUAUGCUACUCACAGAAGAGUUAAAAGUCCAAAGCUACUCAGAUAAGUUUCUUCUUGAUUCAAUCCUGAGACGCAGAAACUAAUCUACUCAUAUGAAAGUCGAAAUCCAGCAGCCUAUCACAGGAACUUUUUUCUAAAAGCUACUCAUUAAAGCUUCUUCAUAAGCUUCUUCAUAGAAGAAGUUGAUUCUAUCUUUGGAAUCAUAAGAAUUUUCAAACAUGCACUCACAUCGAUUAGGGUUUAGUGAGUAAAGAUAUAUUGUUCAAGUUAUAUGGUUUAAAGGUGUAAUAUUUGAGUGGUAACUUUUCACCUCACUUUUAUUAUACUCUCUUCCCAUUUCUAUUGCUUUUCCCUUUUAUCACACUCACCUCAAGCUUUGUACAUGUGUAAAUGCAGUACAAUAGAAAUGAAUCACACUGAUUAUAGUACAAGGGUAUAUAAAUAACACCAGACACAAUUUAGUUCCUAA
This is a long non-coding RNA of Lotus japonicus, 1386 nucleotides long. RefSeq lists it as uncharacterized. Lineage: Eukaryota; Viridiplantae; Streptophyta; Magnoliopsida; Fabales; Fabaceae. The transcript has 2 exons. The record is from RefSeq and is a predicted model, not a curated record.